Manihot esculenta (cassava) is the source of this 1126-nucleotide RNA transcript. It is a transcript of the gene named 40S ribosomal protein S3-3, with no coding region annotated. Lineage: Eukaryota; Viridiplantae; Streptophyta; Magnoliopsida; Malpighiales; Euphorbiaceae. The transcript is spliced from 7 exons. The record is from RefSeq and is a predicted model, not a curated record.
AUCUCAACCGUUAGAUCAGAUCGCUUCCCCACCCUAUCAAAUGAUACGAAGGUCGCAUCCUUCUCAAUCUCUCCACGAACAUUAGGGUUUUGCUUGCUGAGAAGCUCCUAGACGCUCAAGUUGUCGAAAAUAUGGCGGCCCAAAUCAGUAAGAAGCGCAAGUUUGUUGCAGAUGGUGUUUUCUAUGCGGAGCUAAAUGAGGUGUUAACCAGAGAGCUGGCUGAGGAUGGCUACUCUGGGGUUGAAGUUAGGGUUACUCCAAUGCGUACUGAGAUCAUCAUUAGGGCUACUCGUACUCAGAAUGUACUUGGUGAGAAGGGAAGAAGGAUCAGGGAACUGACAUCUGUUGUUCAGAAACGAUUCAAGUUUCCAGAGAACAGUGUGGAACUCUAUGCUGAGAAAGUUAACAAUAGGGGCCUCUGUGCUGUUGCACAAGCCGAGUCUCUACGUUACAAGCUCCUUGGAGGCCUUGCCGUUCGAAGGGCUUGCUAUGGUGUAUUGAGAUUUAUAAUGGAGAGUGGGGCGAAGGGAUGUGAGGUUAUUGUGAGUGGAAAGCUCCGAGCUCAGCGCGCCAAGUCCAUGAAAUUCAAGGAUGGGUACAUGAUAUCAUCUGGUCAACCUGUUAAGGAGUAUAUUGACUCUGCUGUCAGGCAUGUUCUUCUAAGACAGGGUGUGCUCGGUAUCAAGGUAAAGAUCAUGCUUGAUUGGGAUCCUAAAGGCAAGGUGGGUCCAAUGACGCCAUUGCCUGAUCUGGUCACCAUCCAUCCUCCCAAGGAAGAAGAAGAGUACAUUCCGCCACCAGUGCUGACAGCCAAUAUCGAGAUUCCAGUUGCAUAAACACUGAACUUCUCCAAACAAGUAUCACAGGUUUCUUAUAAAUGUUUUAGGAGGGAGAGAGACUAGAAUGCUACAAUGAAUCAAGAUUCAAGAGAAAUCCUACGUCUGGAUUUGGAUGUGCCACUGCUUCAAAAAUUUAUUACCAUCGAGCGCUACUUUUAGGUAUCAGAUUAAUUUCCUUUUUAAGAUGGUUAUGGAGGCAUUUGUUAAUGGCAGGGUGGUGUCAAAGAUAUGGAGAGAAUGUGUACUAGUCUAGUUUGAAUCAAAUCAAACCGAUAUAUUUUGGUUUA